AGUGAACGCUGGCGGUAGGCCUAACACAUGCAAGUCAAACGGCAGCACAGGAGAGCUUGCUCUCUGGGUGGCGAGUGGCGGACGGGUGAGGAAUACAUCGGAAUCUACUCUGUCGUGGGGGAUAACGUAGGGAAACUUACGCUAAUACCGCAUACGACCUACGGGUGAAAGCAGGGGACCUUCGGGCCUUGCGCGAUUGAAUGAGCCGAUGUCGGAUUAGCUAGUGGGCGGGGUAAAGGCCCACCAAGGCGACGAUCCGUAGCUGGUCUGAGAGGAUGAUCAGCAAAGCUGGAACUGAGACACGGGCCAGACUCCUACGGGAGGCAGCAGUGGGGAAUAUUGGACAAUGGGCGCAAGCCUGAUCCAGCCAUACCGCGUGGGUGAAGAAGGCCUUCGGGUUGUAAAGCCCUUUUGUUGGGAAAGAAAUCCAGCUGGCUAAUACCCGGUUGGGAUGACGGUACCCAAAGAAUAAGCACCGGCUAACUUCGUGCCAGCCGCCGCGGUAA
This 506-nucleotide ribosomal RNA is filed under the name uncultured bacterium. Its description in RNAcentral is "partial 16S ribosomal RNA". It matches the Rfam family "Bacterial small subunit ribosomal RNA", at positions 29 to 523 of the family's 1533-position model. The record is from RNAcentral.